RNAcentral lists this ribosomal RNA (462 nucleotides) under Triticum aestivum (bread wheat). RNAcentral describes it as "partial small subunit ribosomal RNA". The record is from RNAcentral. Lineage: Eukaryota; Viridiplantae; Streptophyta; Magnoliopsida; Poales; Poaceae.
AUGUUCAUGCACCAGAGAGCUGCUCGUCGUGCUGGGAGACCGUUGAUCCGCUAUGGUCCAUUGUUUCCCCGGGAACAGGAGAGGAUCCAAAAUCUGAACUACAUCUACAACUGCAAUGACGUCGAGGCUCUGUGGAUGCUUAGAAUGAAAAGAGCAUCAUUUGCCAGGCUUGUCGAGACCUUCAGGAGCAGGGGCCUGUUACAAGAUAGCAUCAACACCAGUGUCGAAGAGCAAGUGGCCAUGUUCCUCCAUGUUGUUGGCCAUAAUCAGAGGUUCAGGGUCAUUCACAACAUGUUCAGGAGGUCAAUGGAGACCAUCUCUAGGUACUUCAAGCAGGUGCUUUUUGCUGUUGGGGAGCUUAGAGGAGAGAUGAUCAGGAGACCAUCUGGCCAGACUCCACCAAAGAUUCGCGGAAGCCUAAGAUGGUAUCCAUACUUCAAGUUCAGCACUAACACAGGCUAG